GGAGCGAGAUCGACAGCAGCGAGAACGAGUAGCGAAUGGUGUGUUGUCCUGGCUGUUACUGCUUCCCGAUCUCGCUUGCUCGCUCUAAUUCGUAAUCCAAGCCUAGAGAAGCCUGGCGAAGAGCCUCCUAUCGCGAGGAUCUAAAACGUCUUGCGCGAAAAUUUCAAGCGUUCUUACGGGAUAUAAAGGCAAACGUAAGCAGAUUUAUGUAGUCAUAGUACAUAGAAAACCAAAACACAAGCUCCGUCCUACAAACUAACCGACGCGAGGGGCACCGGGAGUCAGGCAUUCGCUCCACCUGUAUCCCUCCCACUUUCCAGAUUCUGUGUUAUCAUUGGCUAAGUUACGCGAUGGAUAGAAGACGCGAUUAGGUGGAGCGCGGGCCACCGCUUCCCCUUGCCCCGCGCACCGUUACUUCGGUGGACCGGCCGACCGAAUCCGCUUGCCACUUAGGUAGAUUGGUUUGUGGACGGAGGCUCGUCUUUUUGUUUUCCGAUAUUACAACGAUAUUCGCCGGCAAAAUGCGGAGGAAAGGUAAAAUGAUUUUUCAAUUUGAACAGAAUAUCUCGAUAGCGGAAAGGAGAGAACAAACCGCAGAUUUGUUAGAGAAAUUAGUCCCUUGACUGACGAUUUGAGUUUCGAGAACGUGUGCCAAAAACAAUAACAAGCAACCUGAGACGUCCGAUAGCCGAAAGACACCACGUGGUCUGGACAGUUUGGGAAGAGAAGAUAGGAUUAUUCGAUCUUUUGAACUGCUGCAAUGACCUGUCGCAAACCAUUCUGGGGCUACGCUGCGGCUAUGAAGAACUUCAAGGCCACUUCAUCUAAGACGUAAAGGGCGAAGUAUGGUAGUAACUACAGUAGAGAGGCAGGGACGUGAACCGAUGGACCAACCCUUUGUCGCCGACCGUACGCUGUGCUUGUACAAUGCAAUUAGCGACCAAUCAAGGAAAAUGGUAUCGCGUGUCAUUUCCUCGGACGGCCGAAGGGCGAGCGACCAGGGCUCGCGACGAGGCCUGGGUUUUUAGUUGGCCGAAUCGAAUUAUUUAUUUUGCGAGCCGGAGCAAAAGGCGCUCUGUCACACGUUUUAGUCGGCGGAACGUUUUCUCCCGAGCGGCAGCGACAAAUAAACGAUUACGAAGGAUCUCGAUCUCAAAUUUUCAAGUCCAACCUACCAGAGGACGAUUCUAAAUGGAGAAAUAAGACGAAAAGGAAGAGUAACAUUUUUUCAUUUAAGACUGCGUUUUCGAGAAAAAUCAGUGCAAAGAUCUGUCAGGUAGAAUCGUCAUUCCAUGCUGAUGUCAUGUCACGCGAAGACAUAGUAUGUUUGCUUACUAUAAACGUUACAAGCGACGCUGUGUUUGGACUACAAAGAAUUACGUACCGUCGAAACCGUUCGUGGAGCCACGUGCACGAAAUCAGACGUAACGAGACGGUCGCGCGCGGCAAUUUCAUCCCGUAAAAAUAAUUCUCGCCCGUGGGUAUUUUUCUGCCGGGCGGAUAUUACGUUUUCAAACGUUCUCCGAUAUCGAUUGAAUUUGUCCGAGGCAAAUAUGAAAUAAUCCUUAAGCAAACACCGAUACGCGGGUUACGUCAAUAUGCGCGAUUAAUAUCCGCCGAAAGGUUUGUUUAGAUGCGAAAAGUAAACGUAAUACCCGUUUCAAAUUGUCGAAAACAAUGAACACGCGAUAAAAGUUAUUACAGCCCGGCCGGUGCGCGUGGCAGAACGUUUCCAGCCGAAAAAUCUAAUUAACCCUUCGCGCUGCGACCACGUCUGCGAGACGUGGCCGGAUCAUCGGGCCGUGAGAGACGUGAUCGAAGAAUAGAGCCAGAAAUGAUUACCACGUCUGAGAGACGUGGUCGAUACAUACAUUAGUCGAUACAUUCUAGUUAUGAUCUAGUAGACUGGGGCCACUCUAUCAUCUAGAAAAAAAUUCAAGCCGUUUAGUCCAGUUCCAAAAAACGUUAUCGCGCCUUGAAAAUUGCCCGAUCAUUAACGGGUGUCACCGUAUGUAUUUACAUUCUGUAAAAAGUUCACGAUUGACACAACUUCAGACAUGGUUUCCGCGCAACCAUGAAAGGGAGGCUGGACGCGUGACCGACCUUGUUGUUGUUGUUUGUAGCACACGUUCUUGGAACAUAAAUCGUAGGGCAAAGGGUCAAAAGCAGAAGAUGUUUUUUAACGUUCACCAACGCUAAAUUAUAUGUCAAUCAGGCGUUCGCAAAAGUCAAAGGAUCUCUCUUUCAAGCGGAGUAAUUGCUUUGUCACUCGCAUGUUCCGUUUCUAAAAUAAAUUGAACAGUAUCCGAAAAGAUUGGCAGAUUUCCGGGGUUCUUUUAUUUACCGUGGCGGCCGCUGCGACGACGGGCCACGGUAUCGCAUUAAAUAAACAAGAGACGCAGCGACGCAAACUUGCAGGCUCCGCGACCCUUUGUCGCCGACGGUAGCCUGCGCUUUUACAAUGUAAUUAACCGCCGUUCAAGGAAAAUGGUAUCGCGUGUCAUUUCCUCGGACGGCCGAAGAGCGAGCGACCAGGGCUCGCGACGAGGCCUGGGUUUUUAGUUGGCCGAAUCGAAUUAUUUGUUUUGCGAGCCGGAGCAAGGCGCUCUGUCACACGUUUUAGUCGGCGGAACGUUUUCUCCCGAGCGGCAGCGACAAAUAAACGAUUACGAAGGUACAAGCCUCGGUCGUUUUCCUUACACUCGCGUUUAAUUCAACCAUUUUUCAAUCAUGGUUCUCAAUCCUGUAUUCAAUUGAUGUUACCGAUGUUGUUCAUGUUAUUCGAAAAACUCCACAGAAUUCUACUAUACGAAUUAGUACUGUAUCAUAAUUACUGCUGCAGCGUUAAACGUGUUUAAAAAUUUUCUUGUGAAACCAAUUUUUCUUGAAAAGUGCACAUGCGAAAUUAAAGAAAAUAUGAGCAGAUUCGUAUUUAGCUCGUUGAUAUUUAUUAUCAAUAUUUAUUUAAAAUCGCAAGUUCUGUUUCUUUUCACAACUUUCCAGCUCUUGUCUAGCUGCGUGCAACAUUUUGAAACACUGUGCACCGCAGUAAUAUAACUCUCUUCGAUUUAGGGUCUGUCAAUGUUCAUCACAAUGCUUGAUAUACAUUUAAAAAAAGACGCUUCGCUUUUAGGGAUAAUUAUUUACUUCAGGGACUUUCCGAUUUCAAUGACCUUGCAGUAUGUUGUCACUUUGUGUUUACACUCCCCCUCUUACCAGCUGCCUCACCGCCGCAGGUCCUUCGCGGUCAGACGGAAAGUAGAAAUUAAUAUCGGCGCUGUUACCGCGCGAACGCGUUCAUCGGAGGGCUUCAGUGACAUGACAAUUAUUGCAUUUCGCCUGAUUAAAGUCACCGAUGAACGAUCGUAUGCUAAUCGACGAGGUAGCCGUGCAAUUUAAUUUUUAGACCCGCCGACGGACGCGAUGCGUCGAAUUAAACCUGUCCGAUGAGGUAUCGCGGCGUGAAACAUCGCGCGCGGGGACAUUAAUCGCGUUACAUUUCUCCCGCGCAAAUGCCCGGCCUAAUAAUUCUACCCUUUCGCAUAAAACCGAUUAUGUAUAGCGCGGGAGAGCCCCGCUCGUUGACAAUUUUCAGAAACGAAUCGCGAAAAAUUAGAUUUUCGAUCCGAAUCAAAUGUUAAUUUGAUAUCUACCGAUCGUUGAAAGCGGAAAUAUACUUUUUAACCUAACCGAAAUUAUUGUUCUCGCUCGAGGAGCCUAAACUGUAUCUGCUAACUUAUUUACAGCCUUUCUUUCUUAGAUAAAAUAAUUAUAAACGAAUAAGAAUUAUUAUAAAGAAUUUAAUAAUUAUUGAUAAAAUAGUGAAAUUUUCAUAAUAUACGAUGGAUUCGAUACGUUCAAAUUUAUUAUUUAUCGUAUUUGAACAUUGUGGGAAUAAUUUGAAACGUUAGAAAACAAUUAUUAUUAUUAUUAUUAUUAUUAUUUACAAGUAAUAGGAAGCAAUAAAAUAUAACUUAGUGAUUAUAAAAAGUUUUGUGAUACAUGCGAGAACCAUAGAACAAUUUGAUUUUUAUUAAAAUUGAUUUACGCUGCUA
Molecule: non-coding RNA, 4055 nt
Organism: Megalopta genalis
Lineage: Eukaryota; Metazoa; Arthropoda; Insecta; Hymenoptera; Halictidae
Source: RefSeq, a predicted model, not a curated record